Molecule: ribosomal RNA, 433 nt
Filed under: uncultured bacterium
Lineage: Bacteria
Description: partial 16S ribosomal RNA
Rfam family: Bacterial small subunit ribosomal RNA
Source: RNAcentral
AACGAACGCUGGCGGCAUGCCUAACACAUGCAAGUCGAACGAGACCUCCGGGUCUAGUGGCGCACGGGUGCGUAACGCGUGGGAACCUGCCCUUAGGUUCGGAAUAACUCCCCGAAAGGGGUGCUAAUACCGGAUAAUGUCUUCGGACCAAAGAUUUAUUGCCUUUGGAUGGGCCCGCGUUGGAUUAGCUAGUUGGUAGGGUAAAAGCCUACCAAGGCGACGAUCCAUAGCUGGUCUGAGAGGAUGAUCAGCCACACUGGGACUGAGACACGGCCCAGACUCCUACGGGAGGCAGCAGUGGGGAAUAUUGGACAAUGGGCGAAGGCCUGAUCCAGCAAUGCCGCGUGAGUGAUGAAGGCCUUAGGGUUGUAAAGCUCUUUUACCCGGGAUGAUAAUGACAGUACCGGGAGAAUAAGCUCCGGCUAACUCCGUG